GGAGGGGCCUGCGCGCCCGCCCCGCGCUCUCCGUCCCCGCGCCGGCCUCAGCGCCCUCGCGCGCCGCAGCAUCCCAGCCGCCGCUGCCGCCGCCGGGCCUCCCCGCCACCCCCUCCCCGGCCCGGCCGCCUCCUGCCGCCGCCGCCGCCGCCGCCGCCGCCGCCGCCGCCAUUCCUGGCGCCCGAACUCGCCCGGCCGGGAGCCGCCGCGGGCAGGACGCGCGCUGCAGACUCUGCUAACACCAGAUAGUGGAAAGAAACCAUGUGCUGAAAUGUUUGACAACACUGAUGGUUUGCAUUUCUUCUGAGGCCCUGAAGAAGUAUCAAGUGGGCUUUGACAUUGUGGUGGUGAGAGCAACCUUUCCUCACCUGGAGAACUGGGAAAUGUGGAUUCUCAGGGACUGCGCUGUUCACGAGCUCCAGGCUGUGCUGCUGGCCCUGGUCCUGGGGCGCUGAGCCGCAUCUGCAAUAGCACACUUGCCCGGCCACCUGCUGCUGUGAGCCUUUGCUGCUGAAGCCCCUGGGGUCGCCUCUAUCUGAUGAGGAUGUGCACCCCCAUUAGGGGGCUGCUCAUGGCCCUUGCAGUGAUGUUUGGGACAGCGAUGGCAUUUGCACCCAUACCCCGGAUCACCUGGGAGCACAGAGAGGUGCGCCUGGUGCAGUUUCAUGAGCCAGACAUCUACAACUACUCAGCCUUGCUGCUGAGCGAGGACAAGGACACCUUGUACAUAGGUGCCCGGGAGGCGGUCUUCGCUGUGAACGCACUCAACAUCUCCGAGAAGCAGCAUGAGGUGUAUUGGAAGGUCUCAGAAGACAAAAAAGCAAAAUGUGCAGAAAAGGGGAAAUCAAAACAGACAGAGUGCCUCAACUACAUCCGGGUGCUGCAGCCACUCAGCGCCACUUCCCUUUACGUGUGUGGGACCAACGCAUUCCAGCCGGCCUGUGACCACCUGAACUUAACAUCCUUUAAGUUUCUGGGGAAAAAUGAAGAUGGCAAAGGAAGAUGUCCCUUUGACCCAGCACACAGCUACACAUCCGUCAUGGUUGAUGGAGAACUUUAUUCGGGGACGUCGUAUAAUUUUUUGGGAAGUGAACCCAUCAUCUCCCGAAAUUCUUCCCACAGUCCUCUGAGGACAGAAUACGCAAUCCCUUGGCUGAACGAGCCUAGUUUCGUGUUUGCUGAUGUGAUCCGAAAAAGCCCAGACAGCCCCGACGGCGAGGAUGACAGGGUCUACUUCUUCUUCACGGAGGUGUCUGUGGAGUAUGAGUUUGUGUUCAGGGUGCUGAUCCCACGGAUAGCAAGAGUAUGCAAGGGGGACCAGGGCGGCCUGAGGACCUUGCAGAAGAAAUGGACCUCCUUCCUGAAAGCCCGACUCAUCUGCUCCCGGCCAGACAGCGGCUUGGUCUUCAAUGUGCUGCGGGAUGUCUUCGUGCUCAGGUCCCCGGGCCUGAAGGUGCCUGUGUUCUAUGCACUCUUCACCCCACAGCUGAACAACGUGGGGCUGUCGGCAGUGUGCGCCUACAACCUGUCCACAGCCGAGGAGGUCUUCUCCCACGGGAAGUACAUGCAGAGCACCACAGUGGAGCAGUCCCACACCAAGUGGGUGCGCUAUAAUGGCCCGGUACCCAAGCCGCGGCCUGGAGCGUGCAUCGACAGCGAGGCACGGGCCGCCAACUACACCAGCUCCUUGAAUUUGCCAGACAAGACGCUGCAGUUCGUUAAAGACCACCCUUUGAUGGAUGACUCGGUAACCCCAAUAGACAACAGGCCCAGGUUAAUCAAGAAAGAUAUGAACUACACCCAGAUCGUGGUGGACCGGACCCAGGCCCUGGAUGGGACUGUCUAUGAUGUCAUGUUUGUCAGCACAGACCGGGGAGCUCUGCACAAAGCCAUCAGCCUCGAGCACGCUGUUCACAUCAUCGAGGAGACCCAGCUCUUCCAGGACUUUGAGCCAGUCCAGACCCUGCUGCUGUCUUCAAAGAAGGGCAACAGGUUUGUCUAUGCUGGCUCCAACUCGGGCGUGGUCCAGGCCCCGCUGGCCUUCUGUGGGAAGCACGGCACCUGCGAGGACUGUGUGCUGGCGCGGGACCCCUACUGCGCCUGGAACCCGCCCACAGCGACCUGCGUGGCUCUGCACCAGACCGAGAGCCCCAGCAGGGGUUUGAUUCAGGAGAUGAGCGGCGAUGCUUCUGUGUGCCCGGCCUCGUCUCCUAAGCCCCUCCCUCCUCCUGGCUCCUCUUCCCUGUCCUGUCUGGGCCAUGUGGGGGACAGGAGGCUUUCCUCUCCCUGGACCCCCUGGCCGGCCUCGGGUGCGGGGCCCGACAGCAGCUCGAGGGUCUCCUUGCUGCCGCCCUUCCUGAGUGACCAGGCACAGCACGUGCACGCCCUGGGGAACUUCUACCUCUUCUGCCAGGCCACAGAAAGAGAUGGAUAGUUUAAAAAGGAAUACAUGGAACGUAAGUACUUCUUUAACAUCUUUAAUGUCUUAUGAUGAUCAAGCACGUAUUUAAAUAGUAUUUACUGAUGCCUGUUAGCGGUGGUAAGCAUGUGUCUGUUUCUGCUCACACCCCGAGUGUAGAGCUUUGAGGGUUUUGCAGUCAGUGGUCCCAUGAUGGGGCGUUGGGUGAUUAAUCCAAUCCAGCUUAGGCCACCCAGAUUCUUAGUCAUGAGAACCUUCCAGAGGCUCCUGUGACUCAGUGACUCCAGUCCCCUGGGUGGUUCUUGGUGCAGGUCACAUGAGGGAGGAGACCGGGCUUUUAUAGAACUCACUUCACUGUCUGUUCAAAGAAAAGUGUUACUUGAUCAUAACAGCUCAAAAAAAUCUGUUUCUUAAAAUGAGAUUUUACCUGGAUGCCCAUCAGCUGGGAAAGGGAAUAUCUAUUCCCCAGUUGAUGGGCACCUAGAUGUACAUAGAGACAUAUGUUUGUACAUCUAUGUAAUAUGUACUUAUAUUUGUAGAUAGAUACAUGGAAUUAUCUGUGGCCAGAGUCCAAAACAUUUUGAGUGGGAAAAAACAAAUUAUAGAGUGUUAAGUUUGUUUUUUUUUUUAAUUCUGCACAAAAACCAAACCUGUUCACAAGGGCUUGUCCACCAGGCCAGGGCCAGAUGGGCCGCCAGGCAAAACAGUUUUGGAGCAUCUUCUGAAUUUCCUUGAGUUUACAGAAUGUUUCCUUCAAAGUAACACUUUUAUAAAAAAUUAUUAUUAUAAAAGCAAUGCUUGUUUGUUGUAAGUUUGGAAACUCCAGGGAAGUAUAAAGAAAAAAUUUAAACAAUCCCAAAUUUAACCAUCCAGAGGUAGUUACCACCAGCAUCCCGGCCAUUUUUAGGUCAUGACUAUCUACAUUCACACAUGUAUACAUGGGUGUGUACAUAUAUACACACACUCCUAGAUAUUCUUUCACUUAAUAGUAUUUUUCUGUGUUGCUGAAUAUUCUUCGAUGGCACUUCGAAUGAGUGACUUGUGGCCCCCUUCUUGGACAUUUCCCAACUCCUCACUGAUAGAAACAGGGCUUCACUGGGCCCAUGAUUGCCUCGGGACUCAUUCCUAGGACUGCCCAGCUAAAGGGUCUGAGCUUGGUCAAGUCCUUGGGAGGAGCAUUCUCUGGUGAUCCUGGACAGUGGGGAAUUGUUGACCAAGAGACUGGACAAAGAUGAGCAGAUGCCACAGUCAGUAAAGCAGGGAAAAUGCAUUACUAAAGUCAGCUUCAUUAAACUGGCGAUCUCUUCUUUUCAAAAAUCCAGCAUGUGCCACAGAAAUGGAAAGCUCUCUGGCCACUACUGUCCUGCCCAGGGAGGGAGCGUGGGUCCACCCACACCAUUUAAUACCUGUAACUGGAUGCACCUCUGCCCCUACACCUGAGAACAAGGCCAGUUUUUGUGUGUGCAGGUCCUGCAGACAUUCGCUUUGUCUGGGAGAAGAAUGGGCGAGCUCUGGAGACCUGUGUCCCUGUGCAGACCCAUGCACUGCCCAAUGGCAGGGCCCAUGCACUCAGCUGGCUGCAGGACGCCAUCAGGGAAAGCGCUGAGUAUCGCUGCUCUGUCCUCUCCUCAGCAGGGAACAAGACUUCGAAGGUGCAGGUUGCUGUGUUGAGACCUGAAGUGACCCACCAGGAGAAGUGGACCAGAGAGCUCUCCGCCUGGAGGGCUGUGGCUGGGGAGCACGACCGGAUGAUGCAGAGCUGGAGGAAGGCGUGGGAAAGCUGUAGCAAGGACACCCUGUAGCCACCAGGAAGGAGUCCCUGACACCGACCUCAACCCCAACAAGACCCUGCUGCCACUGACCACAGCCACCCCCGGAGAAGGCCUGGUCCCCCACAACUGUGAGCUGUCUUGCCCAAGCCUGCUCUGAACACAGCCAUUGGGCCACCACCUGAUGGGCAGAGGCGGGACAGUGGAGAAGCCUGGAACCCAAGUGGGCCUGUGACAGGAACUAAGACUUAAAAAAUUAGGUGCUUACCUGGGACAGUAAGUUCUGUCUGGCACAAGCAGGUAACCAGGAUGGCUAACAGGCUUCGAUAGCUGUUCGUGAACUAAAACAGCAGGGUGUGUGCAGGUUCCUCCUCUACGGUCAGGCAGCAGGCUCUGAAGGCUGAUCCUACACCGUCCCAGUGACUCCCCUUUACAGAGUGCCCCCACCCCCUAACAGCCAACAGGGUUAGCAUGGCCAGCACAGAUCACUGCUUUUAUUGAUGCAAAUCAAGCCUGCUGCUUCUCCUCCCUGCAGACUUAGCCAAGGAACUCCAAGAUGCAUGACCGGGACAAGAAAAGGUGAGACUCCACAUGGAAAUCCCUUGCCCUAAACCUUGAAUGACUGUGAGAUGCGAUCUAGGAGUGCAUCUGUCAAGUCUUUGUGUUUUCUUCACUAACCUCAGAAUACGGGGCUCUAUUUUAUCAAGCGCUGCAGUUUAUGCCUCUGUCCCGUCAAUGCUCAGCUUCUGCAACAGGACACCAAACUUGAUGCAGAAAGCCAAAUAGGUCAAUUAUGCAAAUCUCCUGGUGCCAUAUUAAAUUUCUUGACAAUGGAA
Pan troglodytes (chimpanzee) is the source of this 5024-nucleotide RNA transcript. It is a transcript of the gene named semaphorin 4D, with no coding region annotated. The record is from RefSeq and is a predicted model, not a curated record. NCBI's taxonomy places the organism in Eukaryota, Metazoa, Chordata, Mammalia, Primates, Hominidae. The transcript is spliced from 20 exons.